RNAcentral lists this ribosomal RNA (1044 nucleotides) under uncultured bacterium. Its description in RNAcentral is "bacterial SSU rRNA". It matches the Rfam family "Bacterial small subunit ribosomal RNA", at positions 1 to 986 of the family's 1533-position model. The record is from RNAcentral.
GGGGGCAGACGGGCGUAUGACUGGUACUCGCGAUGCAUCUAGAUUAGAGUUUGAUCCUGGCUCAAUUGAACGCUGGCGGCAGGCCUAACACAUGCAAGUCGAGCGGGGAAGGUUGCUUCGGUAACUGACCUAGCGGCGGACGGGUGAGUAAUGCUUAUGAAUCUGCCUAUUACUGGGGGACAACAUUCCGAAAGGGAUGCUAAUACCGCAUACGCCCUACGGGGGAAAGCAGGGGAUCUUCGGACCUUGCGCUAAUAGAUGAGCCUAAGUCGGAUUAGCUAGUUGGUGGGGUAAAGGCCUACCAAGGCGACCAUCUGUAGCGGGUCUGAAAGGAUGAUCCGCCACACUGGGACUGAGACACGGCCCAAACUCCUACGGGAGGCAGCAGUGGGGAAUAUUGGACAAUGGGGGGAACCCUGAUCCAGCCAUGCCGCGUGUGUGAAGAAGGCCUUUUGGUUGUAAAGCACUUUAAGCGAGGAGGAGGCACUCUAGGCUAAUACCCUAGAUGCGUGGACGUUACUCGCAUAAUAAGCACCGGCUAACUCUGUGCCAGCAGCCGCGGUAAUACAGAGGGUGCGAGCGUUAAUCGGAUUUACUGGGCGUAAAGCGCGCGUAUGUGGCUAAUUAAGUCAAAUGUGAAAUCCCCGAGCUUAACUUGCGAAUUGCAUUCGAUACUGGUUAGCUAGAGUAUGGGAGAGGAUGGUAGAAUUCCAGGUGUAUCGGUGAAAUGCGUAGAGAUCUGGAGGAAUACCGAUGGGCGAAAGGCAGCCAUCUGGCCUAGUACUGACACUGAGGUGCGAAAGCAUGGGGAGCAAACAGGAUUAUGAUACCCUGGUAGUCCAUGCCGUAAACGAUGUCUACUAGCCGGUUGAGGGACCUUUGAGGCUUUAAUGGCUGCAGCUACUGCGAUGAGGUAGACCGGCCAUGGCGGGAGUACGGUCGCAAGUACUAUAACAUCAAAUGAGUGACCGGGUACCAGCCAGCCGGUGGGAGCAUGUGGUUUCAAUACAAUGCUACGUCGAAAUACCCUAACUGGACUUGACG